This 326-nucleotide ribosomal RNA is filed under the name uncultured bacterium. RNAcentral describes it as "bacterial SSU rRNA". It matches the Rfam family "Bacterial small subunit ribosomal RNA", at positions 28 to 353 of the family's 1533-position model. The record is from RNAcentral.
GAUGAACGCUAGCGGCAGGCCUAAUACAUGCAAGUCGAACGGUAAGGCCCUUUCGGGGGUACACGAGUGGCGGACGGGUGCGUAACGCGUAUGCAACAUGCCUUCCAGCGGGGGAUAUACCAGGGAAACUUGGCGCAAUACCCCAUAGAAUUACGGGACCGCAUGGUCUUGUGAUUAAAACUCCGGUGCUGGGAGAUUGGCAUGCGUGACAUUAGCUAGUUGGCGGGGUAACGGCCCACCAAGGCGACGAUGUCUAGCUGGUCUGAGAGGAUGAUCAGCCACACGUGGGACUGAGACACGGCCCAGACUCCGUACGGGAGGCAGCA